RNAcentral lists this transfer RNA (67 nucleotides) under Nostocoides australiense Ben110. RNAcentral describes it as "Tetrasphaera australiensis Ben110 tRNA". It matches the Rfam family "tRNA". From Rfam's summary of the family: Transfer RNA (tRNA) molecules are approximately 80 nucleotides in length. Their secondary structure includes four short double-helical elements and three loops (D, anti-codon, and T loops). Lineage: Bacteria; Bacillati; Actinomycetota; Actinomycetes; Micrococcales; Intrasporangiaceae. The record is from Rfam by way of RNAcentral.
GGGGCCAUGGCGCAAUUGGUAGCGCACCUGCUUUGCAAGCAGGGGCUCUCACAACUUCAUAUCCCCA